RNAcentral lists this ribosomal RNA (468 nucleotides) under uncultured bacterium. Its description in RNAcentral is "partial 16S ribosomal RNA". It matches the Rfam family "Bacterial small subunit ribosomal RNA", at positions 28 to 507 of the family's 1533-position model. The record is from RNAcentral.
GACGAACGCUGGCGGCGUGCUUAACACAUGCAAGUCGAACGGAAAGGCCCUGCGCUUGCGGGUUUCUCGAGUGGCGAACGGGUGAGUAACACGUGAGUAACCUGCCCUUGACUUUGGGAUAACUCCAGGAAACAGGGGCUCAUACCGGAUAGGAGCUCCUGCUGCAUAGUGGGGGUUGGAAAGUUUCGGCGGUUGGGGAUGGACUCGCGGCUUACCAGCUUGUUGGUGGGGUAGUGGCUUACCAAGGCUUUGACGGGUAGCCGGCCUGAGAGGGUGAACGGGCACCUUGGGCCUGAGAGACGCCGCAGACUGCAACGGGCGGCAGUAGGGGAGAGUAUUGCGGAGUGGGCGGAAGCCUGAUACAGCGGCGCCGGGUGCGUGAUGACGUCCUACUGGUUGUAAACCGCUUUCGCCUGUGACGAAGCGGGAGUGACGGUAAUGGGUAAAGAAGCACCGGCUAACUACGUG